Molecule: ribosomal RNA, 253 nt
Filed under: uncultured bacterium
Lineage: Bacteria
Description: partial 16S ribosomal RNA
Rfam family: Bacterial small subunit ribosomal RNA
Source: RNAcentral
GACAGAGGCCCCGAGCGUUAGUCGGAAUUACUGGGCUUAAAGGGUGCGUAGGCGGGCGUGUGCGUGUCUCGUGAAAGCCCCGGGCUCAACCUGGGAACCGCGGGGCAUACGGCACGUCUCGAGGAAGCUAGAGGCCGGCGGAACGAUCGGUGGAGCGGUGGAAUGCGUAGAGAUCGAUCGGAACGCCAAGGGUGAAGACAGCCGGCUGGGGCUUUCCUGACGCUGAGGCACGAAAGCGCGGGGAUCAAACAGG